RNAcentral lists this ribosomal RNA (468 nucleotides) under uncultured bacterium. RNAcentral's name for it is "partial 16S ribosomal RNA". It matches the Rfam family "Bacterial small subunit ribosomal RNA", at positions 28 to 507 of the family's 1533-position model. The record is from RNAcentral.
GACGAACGCUGGCGGCGUGCUUAACACAUGCAAGUCGAACGGAAAGGCCCUGCUUUUGUGGGGUGCUCGAGUGGCGAACGGGUGAGUAACACGUGAGUAACCUGCCCUUGACUUUGGGAUAACUUCAGGAAACUGGGGCUAAUACCUGAUAGGAGCUCCUGCUGCAUGGUGGUGGUUGGAACGUUUCGGCGGUUGGGGAUGGACUCGCGGCUUAUCAGCUUGUUUGUGGGGUAGUGGCUUACCAAGGCUUUGACGGGUAGCCGACCUGAGAGGGUGACCGGCCACAUUGGGACUGAGAUACGGACCAGAAUCCAACGGGAGGAAGCAGUGGGGAAUAUUGCAAAAUGGGCGGAAGCCUGAUGCAGCAACGCCGCGUGCGGGAUGACGGCCUUCGGGUUGUAAACCGCUUUCGCCUGUGACGAAGCGUGAGUGACGGUAAUGGGUAAAGAAGCACCGGCUAACUACGUG